Dioscorea cayenensis subsp. rotundata (Guinea yam) is the source of this 404-nucleotide long non-coding RNA. RefSeq lists it as uncharacterized. Lineage: Eukaryota; Viridiplantae; Streptophyta; Magnoliopsida; Dioscoreales; Dioscoreaceae. The record is from RefSeq and is a predicted model, not a curated record. The transcript has 3 exons.
UUAUUUCCCUUUGUCAGGUUGCUCUCCACUAAGGUGGUCAUGAGGAAUUCCCGGAGGAAUUCAUGGUUUCCAUCACAUCUAUGCCUUUGAUAUUUGAACCUUUUAACUUCAUUGUUUUUCUUCUCCUCUUGUGCUUCUUCUUCAUUCCUUUGUCUUGUAAGAGAGGUUGCUAGACAGAAGGUUUUUGAAGCUUGGCUAUCUUCUCAACACUCUCUUUUCCGGCCAUCAUAGAUCACCUUGAGCUAUAAUCUUGGAUUUCUUUUGAAUUUAGGAGAUCACCAAAUCAGGAGCAGUAGACCCAGGGAUAUUAGAAGGCUUCCAGUAGAUGUCUUCUUUGGGAUUUAGGUCUUAAUGCUUAUGUCUUUGCAUCAGUUGUAUUUUUGAUUAAGAACCUCCUUGUAGGU